GACGAACGCUGGCGGCGUGCCUAAUACAUGCAAGUAGAACGCACAGUUUAUACCUUAGCUGGCUACACCAUAGACGGUGAGUUGCGAACGGGUUAGUAACGCGUAGGUAACCUUCCUGGUAGCUUGGGAUAACUAGUGGAAACGCUAGCUAAUACCUCAUACUAUUAAUUAUUGCAUGAUAAUUAAUUGAAAGUUGCAAUUGCACCACUACCAGAUGGACCUGCGUUGUAUUAGCUAGUAGGUGAGGUAACGGCUCACCUAGGCGACGAUACAUAGCCGAACUGAGAGGGUGAUCGGCCAGACUGGGACUGAGACAGGGCCCAGACGCAUACGGGAGGGAGCCGUAGGGAAUCUGGGGCAAUGGGCGAAAGUCUGACCGAGAAACGCCGAGGGAGGGAAGAAGGUUGUCGGAUCGUAAAGCUCUGUUGUCAGAGAAGAACGGGUGUGAGAGUGGAAAGUUCACACUGUGACGGUAUCUUACAAGAAAGCGACGGCUAACUACGUG
This 505-nucleotide ribosomal RNA is filed under the name uncultured bacterium. RNAcentral's name for it is "partial 16S ribosomal RNA". It matches the Rfam family "Bacterial small subunit ribosomal RNA", at positions 28 to 507 of the family's 1533-position model. The record is from RNAcentral.